GGAUGUGGCUCAAGUGGUAGAGUGCUUGCCUGGUAUGCGUGCGUCCCGGGUUCGAUCUUCAGCACCA
RNAcentral lists this transfer RNA (67 nucleotides) under Marmota monax (woodchuck). RNAcentral describes it as "tRNA.Thr". The record is from RNAcentral. Lineage: Eukaryota; Metazoa; Chordata; Mammalia; Rodentia; Sciuridae.